RNAcentral lists this long non-coding RNA (2720 nucleotides) under Mus musculus (house mouse). Its description in RNAcentral is "long non-coding RNA chr8:117258078-117260798". The record is from RNAcentral. Lineage: Eukaryota; Metazoa; Chordata; Mammalia; Rodentia; Muridae.
UUUUUUUUUUUUUUUUUUUUUUUGCUGUGUGGCCAGGGCCAGGUCAGCUGGAUGAGAUGGAGAAAGGAGGAUCUUACUAGUUGCUUUCGGAAAUCGAAUCUGCAAAUGGUGGCCUUCUUCCUCCUGGGGACAGACAGCUGUGGUGGGGUCGAGGAGGGGGAGUGGGGGCGGUGGGCAGGGCCUAUACAGGAUGCUUUGUGUUUUCCAACAAGGGCAGUUUCAAAUACAGGCUCUGGCUGGGCCUUAGCCUGGCGCUUGGGGACUUAUCUUUGUAGGGGCCCCCUUCUUGUCUAGAACGGACCGUACCCCCGUGGCAGGCUCCGUGGUGUUUACUAAACAUCAUGGGAGGGGGCAGAGUGCACCGCCUUGCUCACACCUGUGCCAAGAAAGCCCAGCCAGGAAACAGGGUGUUGCUUACAUGCAUGCCACAAAUGUGUAGCGUGUGUAGACAUUGCCUCGGCAUCCAUGUUCCCUUGGUGGUGUGUCACAAACUGUGACACAUGCUCCGAGGAAUGGGGAGUGGGGAAAAGUUAGCCUAGACACCCUGCUGCCUGAGUCCACUUCCCCUACCCCUUUGUGGUACAUGAGGACAUUUAUUCUGAAUUUUGGCUCUGAUAUACUCAAAACCACCAAUUUUUUGGUUUUUUUUUUCCCCCUAGGCUGUGGGCAUGUUGGUGCAGUAACUGCAGACUUUGUCCCCAGGAGGAUUGAGGGUUGCCGGGAGGUGGCCCGGUCUUCUCCUAGGCUGGUGUGUGUUCUUAAACCUGCCUUGAGUCAUAGGCUUCGGCCUUGAUCUCCAUUUGAUUGGCUAGUACCGAGGGUUUCAGGUCCCAGAGGUGCCUGGUAACCUUCCCUCGGCUCUGGAGACCCCAAGUUUGGCUUUAGCUUUAGUACCUGGCUGAGUUGGGGGUGGGGGUGUCUUUUUAGGCUCUGUUCUUCUCCCUGCCAUCCCUCAAAAUGCCAAGGAGUUGUCAGCGAAGGCCAGUAGUUGAGAGGAACGGUGACCCGCUAUAGGAAGGACAGGACAUUCCCUGGUCCUCCCGGGGCACAGUCACUGUGUGGCUAGCUGAUCUUUGACUACCUCAGGCUAGAGGCCCCCUACUUUCCCUGGCUGCUCAAGAGGUCUGUCUGUUGGAAGAGAGCAGUAAGGAAUCAGACCAGAGAGUCCCCAGCAGCCAGGUCCCCCGACCCACUCAUGCCAGCUGAGGUGUGUGUGUGUGUGUGUGUGGGGGGGGCUACCUCCGAGGAACACCUGAGUCCUGUGUUUGGCCCCGGGUUGUCUGAGGCACAAGUCUGGUCUUGGUGGAGCGGUGUUGUGUGUCAGAAAAUGGGGAAAAAGGAACUGGAAACAUGGCCCAGGCUGGUAUAAUCCCGCCCUUCUAAUUCUUCACCUGGCAUGAGGGAAUUCCAUCCAUGUAGCUCGUGCUUUGUGGGGGCGUCAACGAGGGUGGGGGCUCCAGUGGAGGCCUCUAGUGGAGGUGUGUGACUCCCCCACCCCCCUAGGGCCUGUGUGGAUGGAGGUGUGGCCACCAGGGCCUGUAGCAUUGGUCUCCAGGCCAGAGGUGGGGUUGGGGUUUGCUACUAGGGAUCUUGUCCCAUGUCAAGAUAUUUGCUUUGUGUCCGAGAUAUUUGCUUUGUGUCCGUUCCCUAGGAAGUGGAGGAGCCUCCUUGGGGUUCCCUUAGGCCUGGGCAUUAUGUAACCUGUCUGCAUUUUAUAGUGCGGCCCAACCACUGUAUUGAGAAAUGUUUGCUCAAAUGAAACAAAGGUGAAUUUGAGUGCAGUUCAUUCCCAGAAAACCACUGGUAGCCCCUGGCCCAGCCUUGAGUCGCCCGUGUCGGAGUGUGUCUCCCACAGGGGUGAGACGUAUGUGGUCUGUAAGAAGCUUAGUUGAGAAUUGUUUGGGGGGCUAGCCAGUUAAUUGGGUGGACUUCAGGAACUGAACCCACAGUGACUGAUCAGGCUUUAAAUCUGUCAACAAACAAUCCACUCCUUUGCCCAAACCAUCCACUGAGUCCGCUGUCUAUACCUGAACUGCGAGGGAUAGAGGCUUCCUAGACCCCAGCUUGCCCCGUGCUGGGGUGCAAGCCAAGUUUCGUGGGGGGGUUGUCUCUCAGUCCCUUCUGGUCUGGCUUUCCAGCUGGUGACACACUUAUUGUGGAAAUCUUUUAGUUCCCUGGGUCAGGAGACCUAAAAGGGAGAUUGGUGCCACCAGACCUGACUCCCCUCCCCUGACCUGGCUGUAAACUUUGCCCUCCGUGGGGUCAGGUCAGAGCUUGCCCUGUGCUGUCUACUAGUCUGGUUACUGAUUAAACCCCAGCAGAAGCCAGGCCAGGUUUGAUGAACUUGGGAGACUUUGGAUCCUUUGGAACCGGAAUGCUUGUCAACAAAGGGGAGGAGGUCUCUAGCAUCUGUAGGAGGGAUCGUGGGGGGUCGCUGAAGGACAGAGGCUGGACCUUCUUGAGGAAAGGCCGAUCUGCCCAUGCAUUGUCUCAGUCCUCACGUGUACUUGCCUAUCCCUGGGUCUUCCUGGGCUCAGCCGUGGCUGCCUACCUUGUUAUAGGUUGGAACCUACAACGAGCCCAGAUUUUUGUAGAGGUGUCCUCGUUGGAGAGGACAGGCAUCCAUCUUGCCUGCCGUUGGUUGCUUGGCUAAAUUUGAUCACCUGCUAGACGUGUUUGUCUUUUGUCUCUACCCUUUGUUUCCACUGCACCAAAGAACU